GGGGGCGAUCUGGAUUCGACGCCGGUUACAAAACCUAAGGUGCAUGCCGAGAGGGUAGUGACUCUCGUAAAUCAAUCACUGUAACUUUUACAGUUGCCAAUGACGAAAACUACGCAUUAGCCGCUUAAACCAACUUUUUAGUUAGUCUAAGUUAAAGCUUGACCCGGGGCGGAUAUGCCCAUGUAUUCAAACCGGGUGCGCGACUCAUGGGACCGUUGCCUAGCCCUGCUUGUGGCGGAAGCAAUUAAACUUAAAGCAAGCUCGCCUCUUAAUCCCUUUUCGUUGGGCCAGUGAGGGGUUAAAUAAUAAACGGAAUAAGCAUGUAGAGCCGAAGGCCGCGGACUGACGGACGCGGGUUCAAUUCCCGCCGCCUCCACCA
Molecule: transfer-messenger RNA, 379 nt
Filed under: Pseudomonadales bacterium
Lineage: Bacteria; Pseudomonadati; Pseudomonadota; Gammaproteobacteria; Pseudomonadales
Rfam family: transfer-messenger RNA
About the family: Bacterial tmRNA, also known as 10Sa RNA or SsrA, is named for its dual tRNA and mRNA-like properties.
Source: RNAcentral